UAGUCCACGCCGUAAACGAUGUCUACUUGGAGGUUGUUCCCUUGAGGAGUGGCUUUCGGAGCUAACGCGUUAAGUAGACCGCCUGGGGAGUACGGUCGCAAGAUUAAAACUCAAAUGAAUUGACGGGGGCCCGCACAAGCGGUGGAGCAUGUGGUUUAAUUCGAAGCAACGCGCAGAACCUUACCUGGGCUUGAACUCCUGAGAAGUCGGAGUAAUGUCUGAUGUGCCCUUCGGGGAACUCAGUGAGAGGUGCUGCAUGGCUGUCGUCAGCUCGUGUUGUGAAAUGUUGGGUUAAGUCUCGCAACGAGCGCAACCCCUAUCUUUAGUUGCCAGCAUUAAGUUGGGCACUCUAGAGAAACUGCCGGUGACAAGCCGGAGGAAGGUAAGGAUGACGUCAAGUCAGCAUGCCCCUUACGCUCUGGGCUACACACGUGCUACAAUGGUCGUGACAAAGAGUUGCUAGCCUGCGAAGGCAAGCCAAUCUCAUAAACGCGGCCUUAGUUCGGA
Molecule: ribosomal RNA, 507 nt
Filed under: uncultured bacterium
Lineage: Bacteria
Description: bacterial SSU rRNA
Rfam family: Bacterial small subunit ribosomal RNA
Source: RNAcentral